This 253-nucleotide ribosomal RNA is filed under the name uncultured bacterium. RNAcentral describes it as "partial 16S ribosomal RNA". It matches the Rfam family "Bacterial small subunit ribosomal RNA", at positions 524 to 776 of the family's 1533-position model. The record is from RNAcentral.
UACGAAGGGGGCGAGCGUUGUUCGGAUUUACUGGGCGUAAAGGGCGCGCAGGCGGCUUUGUUUGUCAGGCGUGAAAGCCCCGGGCUUAACCUGGGAACUGCGUUUGAUACGGCAGGGCUAGAGUUCGGGAGAGGAGAGUGGAAUUCCCAGUGUAGAGGUGAAAUUCGUAGAUAUUGGGAAGAACACCGGUGGCGAAGGCGGCGAGCUGGCCCGUUUCUGACGCUGAGGCGCGACAGCGUGGGGAGCAAACAGG